RNAcentral lists this long non-coding RNA (269 nucleotides) under Setaria italica (foxtail millet). Its description in RNAcentral is "long non-coding RNA (SITA_LNC002095)". Lineage: Eukaryota; Viridiplantae; Streptophyta; Magnoliopsida; Poales; Poaceae. The record is from RNAcentral.
GAUGCAGUAAGUUUUAUAAAUCAUCCACCUAACAAUUUUACUGCAACAUUAAUUUCAUGUGGGUUCUAUGCUCCAAACUUUAUCCUCUCCUCACGCUUCUUCUCUCUCUGACUCUCCCAUGACCAUGGUGUCACGGUCGGCACUACCCUACUCCGGCCGCCGCUUCGGCUACCACGUCGCCCGCCGCCCAUAGCCAUGGCAUCGUGGUUGGUCCCCACCGUGCGUCGCCUCUCAUCUCCGCGCCACCACACCCUGUCUCCAGCCGGAGC